UUUGGCAGCAAAUAGGUAUUGAUGUUGUGACGAUGCCAACUAGUAAAAUGGGCAACAAAUACAUUAUCACUUGUGUGGAUUAUUUUAGUAAGUGGCCAGAAGCAGCAGCUUCUAAAGACAAGAGUGCGGUUUCAGUGGCAAACUUUAUUUUUGAAACAAUAUGUCGAUUUGGGUGUGCAAAAGUAGUGAUAACAGAUCAAGGAAGGGAGUUUGUUAAUAGCAUUAAUGAGGAAUUGAUGUCACUU
Molecule: long non-coding RNA, 245 nt
Organism: Amphimedon queenslandica
Lineage: Eukaryota; Metazoa; Porifera; Demospongiae; Haplosclerida; Niphatidae
Exons: 3
Source: RefSeq, a predicted model, not a curated record